This 14144-nucleotide long non-coding RNA is filed under the name Eucalyptus grandis. Its description in RNAcentral is "long non-coding RNA (EGRA_LNC003184)". Lineage: Eukaryota; Viridiplantae; Streptophyta; Magnoliopsida; Myrtales; Myrtaceae. The record is from RNAcentral.
AGAAAGAAGGCAGAACUUGACUGGGGCAAACGAUUUCAAAUAAUUCAGGGGAUUGCAAGGGGGCUGCUCUACCUCCAUCGAGAUUCUUGCUGUAGUAAGCAACAUUCUCUUGGAUGAAAAGAUGAACCCGAAAAUUUCAGAUUUUGGGCUAGCACGAAUGUUUGAGGGCACUCAAGUUUUGGUGAACACACGAAAAAUUGUUGGAACACUGUAAGCUCUCUAGGCCUAUUUGAAUUAUCAAUUCAUUGAGUCAAACUCUUCAAGCAGACAGAAAUGAUUGAUUUACCACAACGAACAUCUCUGUUCAUGCAUGUUUUAUCCCCAUUGUCUAUCGAUACAAUCAAAGAGUACAUAAUGUGUUUAACUUAACUGCAGUGGCUAUAUGUCUCCUAAGUACGCCAUGGGUGGAAUAUUUUUCGAGAGGUCUGAUGUCUAUAGCUUCGGAGUGUUGCUACUGGAGAUAGUAAGCGGCAAAAAGAACACGUCCCUGUAUGACUAGGGAUAUCUGAAUCUCCUUUCCUACGUAAGUCCCAAAUUGCAAACUUAAUCAAUAUCAUAAGUUUGCUGCAAUAUUAUGACAGUGUUCUCACUUACAGGCAUGGCAAUUGUGGAGUGAUGGCAAAGCAUUGGACCUAACGGAUGUAGCAAUGGCUGUUAGCUCUCCUUUGGAGAUAACAAGAUGCAUCCAUGUUGGGCUUCUCUGUGUUCAGGACCAUGCCGCGGAUAGACCAAACAUGUCAAAUGUGGUUCUGAUGUUAAGUGGCGAGUCAAAUCUUCGUUAGCCGAGGCAGCCUAUAUUCACUUUCCAAGCCGAAAUGCCAAAUCGUUCUAUUCCAUCACAGCAAGAAAGCAUCCGGUUUGUUAACACUAUCACCAAUACAUUGGUCAAAGGAAGAUGACGACUAUUUAUUUUCAUUUUUAUUUUCCUUUUUUUGGAGAUUAUUUUCUUAUUAUUUUUUAAGAUUUCAGCGUUUAUUCAAUUCAAGGAUGACUUUAGUCCACUCUGAACAAAAGGUCGAACGGGCUGCUCCCCUUUAUAUAUGGAUUUUAGGCUGCAAAGUAGGGGUUUAGAAUGUACACUUUUUUGACCGAACAUAAUCGACGCAGCAAUUUGUUCUAAUUUAUAGUAGCCAGAACAGUUGUUAUAAUUAAGGAGAACUACCAAGUAAUUGCCAUCACUCUCCUCACCAGUUGCAUUUUGAAGAUUCGAUUUCCUGGGUUUUUGGACGAAAGAUAUCAUUACCAAAGACUAAAGUCCCCCCAAGAGAAGCAUGAGCAUUGGCGCAGGACAAAGUAUUUCCAGCUUCAGCUUCAGUAUGAUUCCCAAAUAUGUUUUACCUUCUUCAGAUUUGAUAAGAAGUCAUCUAUACCUGCGGCAAUUAAAUGUCAACUAGUCAUCAAUUCAAUGACUGAACAAUUCAAUUCGGAUAAGCUUCGAAUGAAAAUGGAAGGCUAAUGUCAGCUAGUGAUCAAAAUCGGAGCCAUGUUAUCCUUAAACUGAAGAGAUGAAGAGUUCCUGGUUUGCCUGGAACCCACAUAAUAUCUAGCUUAAUUGAACAUUAAACUUGCGGGGAAAAUUAUCUUAUUAAUCCUAAACCUAUUGUAGAAAUGCAAAUUCAAUCCUAAUAUUUUCACUUUUUUGCAAAUUCAUUCUUGUGCAAAAUUAUAAUAUAGUCAUUUUGGACAUUUUUUGUUGGAAAUCGCUGGCAUGCCACGUAGGACGACGAUGGCUUGAUUGCUACAUUAGUGAUUUCUAGCAAAAAUUAGCCGGAAAGACAACGUAUUUCACAUAAAGGUUAAAUUAGCAAAAUGGAAAAGUUUUGGAUGGAAUUGAUAUUUGUAUAAUAAAUUUAGGAUUAAUUGGACUAUUUCCGGGAAACUUGUGUUAUUGCGUUGACAAAACAUUUGGCCAACAAGUUUCAUCAGAAGCUGCUUUCACCCCUCUUAAUGUUUGUACAUUUUAAAGUACAGUCAAAUUUGAACAACGGUCAAGAGAAGAACGCCGAUUUUAUUGGCUUCUCAGCCCAAACAACAGUUUUAAAAAGUCAACGUUUGACUCACGAUGAAGCUUCUAUUGCAUAAUCCAUACUGAGUUGUCAAACUACAAUGACAUCCUGAUCUCUUGGCAUUCUGGAAGUGCAUAUGAACUGGCAUAGGCAUCAUCAGCUUCCAAUAUAAAGCUAAUUUUGUACUAUAGCAAGAUGGCUAAAGCUAUCUCUAAGAGGAUUUAUGGCCUCACACCUUUGGCAAAGUGCAUCGGUUUGCAGAAAUCUCGCCUUCCUAUCAGAUUUGCAGGCAAAACCGAAAGGCAAAGAAUCGGGAGCCUCUUAACAUCCUGAAGUAAGCAACAACCAAACACAGUUGGCUCCUAUUACAAUGUUGCUUAGGAUGUGUCUCUCCGCUUCCUUGGUCAUGGUCUUCCUUCUUCUGGCACAUCAUAGCACUGCAGUUUAUAAAAUUACUGCAGCCGAACCGCUCUUUCAGAACCAAACUCUUUUCUCCUCUGGUCAAACCUCUAAGCUCGGUUUCUUCACCCCCAACCAAUCAGCUAAUCAAUAUGUGGGCAUAUGGUACAAGAAUGCGUCUCCUUCCAAGAUCAUCUGGGUCGCCAGUAGAUAUACGCUGCUUGCAUAUUUAGAUCACUCGGCAAAAUUAACAAUAGGCAGGGAUGGGAAUUUGAAGCUUGUGGAUGAGCAACAGAAGGUAGUUUGGUCCACCAAUGUUUCUGUUCAGUCAAACUAUACUACAGCAAUGCAUUCAGAUGUAGGAAACUUUGUUCUACAAGAUGGGAAUUCCAUUGAAAUAUGGGCAAGCUUUGAUGAUCCAAUUGAUACUUGAUAAAACUAGUACUAACACUUAGAGAGGGGUAAAUAAGUAUUUGAAAGAAAUCUUCAAAUAAAAUAAAUUUCUUGCAAAGUCUAGAAGAAAAUCAGAAUCACAAGAUUCCAGACUUCUCCAAUAUUCGGAAAGUGUGCAACGGACUUUAAAUGAAGUGGAUAAAGAGAAAAAAGUGCACGCAAAUUUUUUUAGAUCAAGCCUACGUCCACUCUUCUAUAUUGACAACCUACUUAUUGAAUUCCACUAUAUGAUCAAUUAAGAAAUUACAACUUGGUGAGUAAACAAUCAAUGGUAGAAAAUUUUCAAUUUGUUUUCUCUCUAUAUCACACCUUUUAAAGCUCAUAGAUGAAAACUAAUAACAUGAGAGUAGCUUUAGACUUUGGAAUCUCAAAUUCACGUUCCCACACCGAAUAAACUCCUUUCAAAACUCCUUCACCCCAUACUAGCCAUUGGUAAUCUUCGGAGAAACUUUCUUCUAAUCAAGUCCUUGGACAAAAUCAAUUAAAGGAAUCUUGUGGCUAUUGAAGUUAGGAAUAAAAAAUUUCACCUGAUUAUGUUCACUCAUAUAAUCAGAAUCUCGAUUUUUAUAAAUAGAUACUUCCCAAAAAGAAAGUUGUUUUUAAAAUUGGUUUCAUCAAUUUGUGAUUGAAUUUAUAAGGUAAGUGAAAUCCUUCGUUAGAAAGCUAGAUCUAUUCUGGUGCUGCAGCAGGGGGGCGGAGACUGGCUCGGCAGAGGGGGAUUGGGAGUCGCAAGUGCUGCAGUAGGGCGCGGAGGAGCGGCAACCAGCGCGGCGAGGGGAUCAGGCUGCUGGCGCGGCGAUCGUCGCGGCUGCCGGUGCGGCAGCGGCGUCGGGGGGCUCGGACUGCAAAGCAAGGGCGGAGGUGAGGCGGAGCUUCGGCCGCUGGCGUCGGCAGCAGCGGCGGCGAGUGCAGGGGGGGGGGGGGGGGCGGCGUUCCGGCGCGGCAGAGCGGGGCUGCGUGGCGGUGCUGCGGGCGGAGAUGGUGGGCAGCGGCGGCGUCGCAGCUUCGGGCAGAGACGGUGACGCGAGCUCGCGCGUGAGGGGAGAGAUCCGGCGGCAGACGGAACGGCGGCCGACUCGGGCGGGCUGGCGGAGGGGCGGUGUGGCUCGGAGACCGGCUGAGGAUGGCUCGGAGCGGCGGCACAGGGGAUCGGCCACGGCGGCGGAGGAGCUGGCGAAGAAGAACAGUGCUUUUUAUUUUUUUCUGUUUUGUGUUUUUUUCUUUUAUUUUUUCUCACCCUCACGUCACUCUCACGUCCCUUCUCUCAGUUCUCUGUUGCACCCGCUCUCUGCACUCUUUCAAAAUUUCAAAACCCCACUUUGGUGUUGACUUUGACCCAAAAACCAGAGAAAACCCCAAAAAACGAAAAUAGAACCCCCACUAUGAAGUGAUAAAAAGAGAAGACCACCCCACCCCCCUUGUCCGUACGCGACCCGGCUUUUAUAAGUGGGAGACUUAGUUUUUGUGAAAUAUUUUAUUUCCUUUUUCAAUAUGCAUGAAAAUCAAUUUUGCUUAUGCUUAGCCUCCUUGAAAUAUAUGCACUCACUCGCAAUAUUCUCUUUUAUCUUUUUUCUAAUAUUUCAUCCGAAAUCUUCCUUUUUGCCAAAAAAAAUAUGUCCAUCGAUGUAUAUUACCUGAAUAUAUGAAAAAUCUCCUGUCAUAUAAUUUAAUAUUGGAAAAUUUAUUGUUCAUCUAUCGUCAGUCCAAUGCAAAUGGAAUAAAGUAAAAUAAAAUAAAAUAAAUGCUCCUAAAACUAUAUGUUAUGCAAUUAAUUCUAAUAUUUUUGUUUAGGGGUAAAUAUUAAUCCUUAAUUUUUAAUGCGAUAAAUAAAUGACUUGGUCGCUAAAAAUUUAGGUGUCAACUGGAACCUUCACUCGUGUUCUCUCGCCAACCCAAAUCACAUGGCCUUAAGUCAUUUCAUUGCACCACACAUGGACUUUGUUCGAUGUCUUGGAUGACACGUAAGGAAUCUGAAUUUGUGGACCAAAAUGUGUAACUGUGACGCUAAGUCAAAUUUGAACAGCGGCAAGGAAUAACCCUCACAUCGAACAGUCAAUGAAGAAUAGUUUCGUUCGUUUCAUGGAAAAUAUUCUCUAGAAAGUCAUUUUCUUGAAAAAUGAUUAUAUUUUCCGGUAUUCGAUUCAAACCUGAACUUUGAGUGGAAAAUAUUUUCUACCGUUCGUUAGUUAAUUUAAUUAUUUGGAAAAUAUUAUGAAAAAAUUAAAUUUUAAUAUUUUUAAUUGACCAAAAAUUUAGUUUUAUUUUUAUAUUUUUAAAAAUGAAUUUUAAUUAUUUGUAUUUUUAAAAACUCAUUUUUUGUAUUUUUCUUUUUUCCUUCCUCCUUCCUCCUCCUUCCUCUGCCGUUGCAUGCCUGAUGAGCCGACUGCUCGGCAACUGACCAAGACCCAGUUGCUCGAUCCAGCAAGCUCGAGGCUAGGCCGAUCUCACCAGAGCUCGAGGUUCGGCCGAUCUCACCAGAGCUCGAGGUUCGGCCGAUCUCGCCCGAGCUCAUUGGAUUUGGCAACAAAGCUCGGGCUCGCCUAAAUCGGGAGCUCAAGCUCCAUCGCCAGAUUCGAUGAGCUCACGGCUCGCCAAAGCCCAACAAACCUCUGGAGAGCUCGGGCAAGUCCCAAGCCUUGCCCAACUCGCCAGAUCUGGUGAGGCCCGAGCUCACCGGGCUCGGGCAAGCUCCCGCUUCACCAUAUUGGGCUAGGCGAAGCCUCGCCGGCCUGGGGUGAGGCUUAAGCUGGCUCGCGGUUGGUCGCCAACCGCCGCUGUGGCCGACGAUCGGCCAAGGCCAACGAAGGAGAUGAAAAGGAAAGAAAUAAAAAGAAAAAAAGAAAAGGAAAAAAAAUUAAAAAGUCGAUUUAAAAAAAAGAAAAAAGAAAAAAACAAAGAAAAAGAAAGCAUAGAAAAAAAAUGAAAAUGUAUUGGUGAAAAAAAGUAAGAUGGAAGAAGUUAUGAAAACUUUCGAAGGUUGUCUUUUUCAAUAAUGAAAAAUAUUAUUCUUAACUAAUUCAUUUUCCGUAAAACGAAAAUUGGAAAAAGUAUUGAGUUGACGUACAAUCACUUGAAAUUGGUGCUUAGACCAGAAAAGAUACUAAAGAUUUGGCUUUCCUCAGCACGGCUGAGUUUACGUAUGGAACCUUCACCCGUGUUCUCUCGCCAACCCAAAUCACACGGCCUUAAGUCAUUUGAUUGCACCACAGUUGGACUUCGUUCGAUGUCUUGGUUAACAAGUAAGCAAUUCGAAUUUGUGAACUGAAAUGUGAACUGUGACGCAGUCAAAUUUGAACAACGCCGGGGAACAACCCCCACGUUGAACAGUCAAUGAAGAUGUGGUCUUCUGAAAACCCUCGUGUUUCAGCCCCCUUUGAGCACAAAGGCCUCUUUGCUCACAGGAAAUCUCGUUCAUCUAUCCUUAAAUCUGCAGAAAGUGCAGAAUCAACCGAUCCAGCGAACUCACUAGGUUCAUUCAGUCAUUCUUACCAUGCGGCUCUUGAUUUCUUGGUGCUCUUGCUCGGUCAUCUUCUGCCUACUUCAGGCAAGUCAUAGGGCCAGCGGUGUAGCUUACAAUAUUACUCCAUCGGAGCCGCUCUUUCCGAACCAAACUCUCGUCUCCUCUGGCAAUAUAUUCGAGCUUGGGUUCUUCACGCCACGCGGGUCAGAAAAUCAGUAUGUUGGCAUAUGGUACAAGAACUUGACGCCUUCUAAGAUCCUGUGGGUGGCCAUGACAGAAAUUGAAAGGAAUGGAAAGGAAGAACCGAAGCUUUGUAUUUCAGUAUGAUUCUUGUACACAUUAAUUACACUAUUUGUAAUACAAGACUAAAGUGUAAAACAGGAAAGAAAUAUACAUUGAUUCUAAUUCCUAUUUUACCAAGUCAAUCAAUGAUUAAAUGAAGUAAUCAUUGAUACUCAGGAUCGAUGUUUCCCAAGUUAUCAAACCAUAUUUCCAACACUCCCCCUCAAGCUGGUGGCCUAUAUAUAUCGAGGACACCAAGCUUGCUCAAUAAGUAUGUAUGUUGUCUAUGGCAUAAUGGCUUGGUAAAAAUAUAUGCAAGUUGCUCCGUAGUUCCUAUUCCUCUUGUUGUGAUGACUCCUUCUCGAAUUUUGUCUCGAGUGAAAUGACAAUCGACCUCUAUAUGUUUAGUUCUCUCAUGAAAUACUGGAUUGGCGGCUAACUUGAGUGCAGCGUCAUUGUCACAGAAUAAUUUACUGGGUCCAUCGACUUGUACUCCAAGAUCUGCAAGCAAUCCUCGUAUCCAGAUUAUUUCACAAACAGUCUUUGCCAUAGCCCGAUAUUCUGAUUCUGCUGAUGAUAAUGACACGGUUGACUGCUUAUUUGUUUUCCAUGAGAUAAGAGAUUUUCCAAUUUUUAUGCAAAAACCAGUGAUGGAUCUUCUCGUCAUCGGACAAGUGACAUAAUCCGUAUCACAAUACGCCAUCAUUUUCAUGUCACAAUCUCGAGAUAAAAAAAUGCCAAGUCCUGAACAUCCCUUCAAGUAUUUUACCACUUUCAAGGCUGCAUUCAUGUGAGACUGUUUUGGCUUGUGUAUGAAUUGACUGAGUAUUUGCACAGCAUAACAUAUAUCCGGUCUUGUCAUCGUGAGAUAAAUCAGUUUUCCAACAAGUCGUUGGUAUACUGAUGGAUCUUCCAGUAGCGAAUCAUCGAUGGAAGGAGAUGAGCUUGAAUCAUAUUCAUGUGUUGUUAACUUUGUAUUCUGCUCAAUCGGGAUAAUUGCCGGUUUACAUCCUGACAAUCCUGCUUCAGAGACUAUUUCCAGAAUAAACUUUCUUUGACUGAGAGAUAUUCCUUUGUCAGACCGAGCUAUCUCAAUUCCGAGAAAAUACUUAGGAGAUCCCAAGUCUUUUAUAUGAAAAGUGGAAUGCAUAUAGCUUUUGAAUUUUGCAAUGGCUAGUUCAUUAUUCCCCAUGAUAAGAAUGUCAUCAACAUAUAUUAAAAGGUAAAUUGAUGAAGUACCUUCAGUCCAUGUGAACAAUGCAUAAUCAUGUUUGGAAUGCUGAAAACCUAUGUUGGUUAAAGCAGCAGUGAACUUGGCAUACCAUUGCCUAGAGGCCUGUUUGAGUCCAUACAGGGAUUUCCGGAGAUGACACACACGAGACUCCCCCUGUCUGCGUAAUCCCUGUGGAAGUUCCAUAUAAAUCUCUUCAUCCAGAUCUCCAUGCAAGAAAGCAUUGUUAACAUCCAUUUGAUGCAGUGGCCAGUUGCGAGAAGCAGCAAUGGAUAGAAAUGAGCGAACAGUGACUUCUUUGGCUACAGGAGAGAAUGUUUCAUGAUAAUCAAAUCCUUCCCGUUGCGUGAACCCCUUCGCAACUAAACGAGCCUUGUAUCGCUCAAUAGAUCCAUCUGCCUUAAAUUUGAUUUUAUAAACCCAUUUGCAGCCAAUAGGUUUCCGUCCUGUCGGUAAUGGAACAAUGUCCCAAGUAUGGUUCUCAUUGAGAGCCUUGAGUUCAGCUUCCAUAGCAUGUUGCCAUUUAGCAUCAUGUGCCGCUUCAGAGUACGAUGACGGUUCCUGUUCUUCAGAAAUUCUACUGAUGCAACACAUGUGUUCUGAUGACAAUCUACUAAAGGAAACAUAAGAUGAUACUGGAUACUGCGUACUUGGACAAUCCAACGUAGGACAUAUAUAAUCUUUUGUCCACGUAGGGGGUCGAAUAUGACGUCCAGAACAUCGAGGCUACUCAAUUCUGUUUUCUUCUGAUAAUACGGGAGAGGGACUCUGUUGAGUCAUCGACGAAGAGGCUGCUGAUGGAGAAUUUGAUGAAGGAUCUGUCUCAGGUAAAGAUACUGGUGAGUCGAUAGCUUGAUUAGAAUUAUGUGUCAUCAUCGGCAUAUGCUGUUCUGGUGCAAUGAAAACAUACUGAUGCGAAGCAAUGAGAUCUUCUUCUAACAAAAAAGGUCGAUGAUCUGACUCUGAAGUAGAGGAUGUCGACGUAGUCUCUUGAAAAGGGAAAAUAUCUUCGUGGAAGAUAACAUCCCUACUAACAAAAAAUUGUCCUGUAGAAAUCUCCAUAACACGGUAGCCUUUCUAUAGUGGGGGAUAUCCCAUAAAAAUACACCGAAUGGCACGAGGAUCCAUUUUACUUCGGUGACCCAGAUUUGCCGCAUAACACAAACAUCCGAAAACUCGAAGAUGAUCAAUUUCUGGUUGUUUUCCAUAAAGCAAUUCAAAAGGAGUUCGCCCAUUAAGAAUUCUAGUAGGCAUGCGAUUGAUCAAAUAGGCUGCAGUAACUACACAAUCACCCCAAAAAUCUUCAGGUAUGGAAGCUUGAUAUUUUAAAGCUCGAGCUACCUCUAAGAGGUGGCGAUGUUUUCUUUCAACAAUUCCAUUUUGUUGGGGUGUGUAAUUACAUGAACUCUCAUGUAAGAUUCCUUGAGAAGACAAGAAAGAGUUACAUUCCGCAGAAAAAAACUCACGUCCAUUAUCAGUGCGGAUCUUUUGGACAGGUUUGUCGAAUUGAUUUUUAAUGAGAGAUAGAAAAUUCGACAGUGUUGAAAAAGUUUGACUCUUGGAUUGCAUAAGAAAAACCCAAGUAGCUCGAGUAUAGUCAUCAACAAUGGUUAAGAAGAAUCGAGAUCCAUCACGAUGUGGAGUGUGAUAAGGUCCCCAAAUAUCCAUAUGUAGCAAGGAAAAAACACUAGUGGAUCUAGAUGUGCUAAUAGGAAAAUGUGUCCGAGAAUGUUUUGCCAAUGGACAAAUUGGACAUUUAGGAUAAGGAAAUUUUGCGGUAUGACCCAAACGUUGAUGAAAAACAAGAUUUUUAUUACUAGCAAUGGCAUUACAAGAAAUGCUCUUAUUGAAUAAUUCAAAAUUCCCUUGAGGAUCAAUCCAAAAAUAUAGCCCUUCUGCAACACUACCCAAGCCCAUCAGUCUGCCAGUCAAAAGGUCCUGAAAGAAACAAUCAUUGCGAUUGAAUAUGGCACGACAAGAAUUAUCCUCACAAGCUCUUGAGACUGAUAAGAGAUUGAACUCGAAAUCAAGAAUGAAUAGAACAUUUUUGAGAAUAAUAUCUGGACUAAGGUGGACAGUACCAAUUUUGGUAACAUGAGUGGUAUUUCCAUUUGGGAGGCGAACAAAUACCGAAGAAUAUGGCCUCUUUUGAAUACUAGAAAAUAACCGCUCAUUGCAAACUAUAUGAUCACUGGCACCCGAAUCAACUAUCCAUGUAUCAACUGAUAUUGAAUUUUCCUUGUAUGAAGAAGUACCUGAGAAAUUCGCAGCCUUAUCAUUGGUUGCUAGCUGAUUUAAUGCCUUCAUUAUAUUCUGAUACUGGUCUUGGGUAAUUAUAUGAUUUGCCCCAUCAGUCCUUCGUGCCGAAACCUGGUAAGCAGCAAUUUCUUUUUCCUUCUUAUCACCUGGCUUUCCAUGUAAUUUCCAGCAUGCAUCAAUAGUAUGAUGAGGACGCUUACAAUAUUCACAAUAUUUACCCUUAAUUUUGGAAUUUUGCCCAAUAUUUUUUAUGGAUGACGUGGCAUUUCGUGGGCCUCCGGAUGCCCUAUAUGCGGGCGCUGUCGUGGCCGAAUAGGGGCCGUUCGAUUCGGUCGGACUGGCGAGCCAAUAUGAGCCGUCCAAUCUCUUAUGAUAUGGACCGUUGGAUCCUAAAUCUUGGAUCAAACCACAGCCGUCCAUCUUGGUUCCAUCCCAGCCGUCCAUCUUAGGGUUUUCACCUAACCCAAGUCCAGCCCCAUUUCGUCCGCCCCCUCCUUGCCCAAAGCUCUCGGUUCCUCCACCUACUCCGCGCGACGUUUCCCCAGCAAUCCCGCGACCGCAAUGGACUCCGCGCGCCAUUUCUCCAGAUCUGAAGCUGGUCUGGAGAGCAGCAAGGGCGACUCCUUCGCCGGUUCUGCCAUGCUCAGCCGCGGCUUGCCGCUGGCUCUCCUCUUGGACCGCCAGUUGGUAGAUCCGGCCGAGCGAAGGUAACGGAUCCAUCGCCAAGAUCUGCGAUCGAAAAGGUGAGUAUGUGUCGUUUAGGAUAAGUAGAAAUCUAGUCACUUUUUCCCGCUGCUUAAUUUUUCGGUACUGUUGCAGCGUCGCUUCGGGUCCCUCGAGGCGUUCUUCGGCUGCCUCGAGCUCAUUCCAGAGAGCCGAGAGCCGAUUGAAGCAGGUAGUGACCGAUUGAUUCCCUUGUUUCAAAUCUGAAAUCGCCUGGGUAAUAGUGAAGAUCUUCGCUGGAUCGAGACGCCCAUACAUCUCUCGGAUGUUCGCCCAAAAAGUUUUCGAGUCCUCGGUCGGUGGUAGCCCCGCUGCAACGUCUGGAGCAAGCCAAUUUCCAAUCCAGGUACGCACUAAUUGGUUGCAUUUUUUCCAGAAACGUUGCAGUCGUUCGUCGGUCGGAUAGGGGACGGUGCCAUCAAGGAAACCGUCCUUGUCCUUCGUUACAAGUGCUCGCCGGAGGUCUCGAGCCCAGGCGUUGUAGUUGUCCUGUCCAGUGAGCUGCAUGUUGAUGAGUUUGAGUUCCGGUCCGUCGGCCGUCGUCGUGUGAAGAGGAUCUCCGGGCUCGGGACGGCCGCCGUUGACUGGAAACGCGUAGGUCAGAAACCCGGGGUGGAAACCGGGUUGUGGAACCGGGUGGGAAUCCGUAGGGAUGGAUCCAGGUCCUGCAGGUCCUGUUCUUGUCCAGCCCGACCCAUCGUUUGGGUAAUUCUCCCCAGAGGGUCCGCCUUGAAGGGGGUACCAGCCGAGGUAAGGCCACUGGAUCGGUCCUUGUGGUUGGAACGAUGACUGAGCAGGUAUCGAUGAAGCAGUGGCUGAUGAUCGAGCAGGUAUCACCCCUUCUUCUGUUGGGUCGACAAGUGCUGGAUCAAGGAUCUGUUGAGGUGAAUUGGAGGCUUCUUCCAUUUGUUGGUUUUGUCAAGGUUUUUUUUUAGAGCAGAGUAAAAGAAUUCAAUUCGGUGGCUGAUUUGUUUUGCAGGUUGAAGUCGCAACAGCAAACCAGAAAAGAACCGAAAAGCAAUUUGAAGAUGCGGAAGCUUAGGUCAGAAAAGAUCGCUCUGAUACCAUGACAGAAAUUGAAAGGAAUGGAAAGGAAGAACCGAAGCUUUGUAUUUCAGUAUGAUUCUUGUACACAUUAAUUACAUUAUUUGUAAUACAAGACUAAAGUGUAAAACAGGAAAGAAAUAUACAUUGAUUCUAAUUCCUAUUUUACCAAGUCAAUCAAUGAUUAAAUGAAGUAAUCAUUGAUACUCAGGAUCGAUGUUUCCCAAGUUAUCAAACCAUAUUUCCAACAGGCCAAUAGGGAGCGGCCACUUGUGUACACAGAUUGGUCUGCAAAACUAACGAUAGACAGUGAUGGGAAUUUGAAGCUCAUGGAUGGACAAGAAAAUAUAGUUUGGUCUACCAAUGUCUCUAGUCCGUCCAGUUAUACAUCGGCGACGCUAUUAGAUAGUGGGAAUUUUGUCCUGCAAGAUGGAAAUUAUAGCGAAAUAUGGGGAAGCUUCGAGGAUCCGACGGACACUCUUCUUCCAACAAUGAAGAUAGGAGUAAAUGUCAGGACUGGAGUGAAAAAGUCUUUAAUUUCCUGGAGAAGCGACAGUGAUCCAUUCCCUGGAAGUUUCUCGACUGGAAUGACAUCCGAGACGCCACCUCAAGCUUUCACUUGGAAUGGUUCGACCCCUUACUGGAGAAGCGGGCAAUGGGACAAAUCAAAAUUUAUCGGCAUAUCAACCAUGGACCAAUCAUACUCGAGUGGCUUCACUGUCCAGCAGGAUACUCAGCAGGGAACCACUAACUUUUCAAUGAAUAGAUACAAUUUCUUUGGAUACAUGUUCAUUUCUCCCGGAGGAUCUCUCAAGAUAAUGUACUGGGAUGAUGGAGCUAAGGCAUGGUUGAUGGAUUGGGCAGCACCGAACAAUACUUGUGAGAUUUAUGGAACUUGUGGUCCAUUUGGAGUUUGUAACUCACUGAAUUCGCCUAUUUGCAGAUGCAUAGAUGGGUUUGUGCCAAAGUCAAAUGAAGAAUGGAACAGUGGAAACUGGACCAGAGGAUGUGUAAGAGAGAUGGAAUUGAAUUGCCAGAAAAACACAAGCACAUCGACUUCUACAAACGUAAAGAAAGAUGCAUUUUGGCAAAUGAGCCAGAUGAAACUACCCGACUCUGGGAACUAUAUAUCAGACAUUGGAGAUGAAGAAGAAUGUGAAAGCUGGUGCGGGAGCAAUUGUUCUUGCUUGGCUUAUUCUUACGUCAGCACCAUUGGAUGCAUGGUUUGGAGUAAAGACCUCAUUGAUCUUCAGGAAUUUCCCACAGAUGGGGAAGAUCUAUUUGUUCGAGUUGCACAUGUAAAAGCAGGUUAGAAAUUGUUUCAUUAAGAUGAGUUUGAGUCGACACCAAUCAUCUUUUACAUAACUCUCUUUCCCAUUUCAGGAGGAUCGUGGCACAAAGCAGUUAUCAUCAGCCUAAGUACUAUUGCAGGGAUUAUGUUCUUUGCAGUAUUUGUUUUUGUUCUUUGCAAAUGGAGAGCUAACAAAACAGGUACACCUGAAAAAUCGACGGAGCUGACACAAGGAAAUGCAUGGAAAAAGCAGUUGAAGCAAGAUGAUUCACUGGAAUUGACCCUUUAUAGUUUUGAUAGCAUACUACUUGCUACAAACAAGUUCAGCACGACAAGUAAACUCGGGCAAGGAGGGUUUGGCUCUGUUUAUAAGGUAAGACCAUUCUGCAGGACAUUGUUAAUGAAAAUAUUUCAAGGUCUAAAAGCUAUGUGAAUUGCGAAACAGGGGAAGCUGAAAGAUGGGAAAGAGGUAGCUGUGAAAAGACUUUCCAGUACCUCAGCCCAAGGCGUUGAAGAGUUCAAGAAUGAGAUCAUCCUUAUAUCGAAACUCCAGCAUCGAAAUCUUGUUAAACUCGUGGGUUACUGCAUUGAAGGAGAAGAAAAGAUUUUGUUAUAUGAGUACUUGUCGAAUAAAAGCUUGGACACCUUUCUUUUUGGUUGGUCUUUUUUUUUUUUUUUUUUUUUAUCUCGGAUUAACUAUUUUUCUAUAAUGUAUUUUCUGCCAUAGCAUAUAAACUUGAAAACUAUUCCUGUCUGUCAUGUUUGUUAGAUUCAAGAAAGAAGGCAGAACUUGACUGGGGCAAACGAUUUCAAAUAAUUCAGGAGAUUGCAAGGGGGCUGCUCUACCUCCAUCGAGAUUCUUGCCUUAGGGUCAUACAUCGAGACUUGAAAGUAAGCAACAUUCUCUUGGAUGAAAAGAUGAACCCGAAAAUUUCAGAUUUUGGGCUAGCACGAAUGUUUGAGGGCACUCAAGUUUUGGUGAACACUCAAAAAAUU